Non-coding RNA from Podarcis lilfordi (Lilford's wall lizard), 74 nucleotides. Lineage: Eukaryota; Metazoa; Chordata; Lepidosauria; Squamata; Lacertidae. The record is from the annotation of a GenBank genome assembly.
GGAGAAACACAAUUCAGGGGUACAGCAUCUGCCUUGUAUGCAGAAACUCCCAGGUUCAAUACCUGAUGUCUCCA